This is a non-coding RNA of Bos taurus (domestic cattle), 72 nucleotides long. NCBI's taxonomy places the organism in Eukaryota, Metazoa, Chordata, Mammalia, Artiodactyla, Bovidae. The record is from Rfam.
UCCCAGGUAGCUCAUAUGGUAAAGAAUCUGCCUGCAAUGCGGGAAACCUGGGUUUGAUCCCUGGUUUGGGAA